Molecule: long non-coding RNA, 1905 nt
Filed under: Bemisia tabaci
Lineage: Eukaryota; Metazoa; Arthropoda; Insecta; Hemiptera; Aleyrodidae
Description: lncRNA ENSSSA2NGG012027
Source: RNAcentral
UUAACAGGUGGAAAUGGCAAAUGUGACCAAGAUGACAACGAUGAACAUCGCUCUUUGAAUUUGUUGCUGACGGUGAAUAAAAAAACAAGGUUUUCUCAAGAAAACUACAAUGCAGACCUGCAGCGAAAAACAGCCGUCGGCAAGGCCGUUUCCAGCUAAGGCAUUUACUGAAGGAUGAUCCCGUCAGAACAAUGUACGACUAUGAUGAGGAGGAAGAGGAAGAAGAAGAGAGCCACACGGAGAUGGGACUAUGGGGAUUUCGGAAUGAGAAUGAGAAGAAAGAGAAGGACGAAAUUCCACCUACACUGGACCCAAAUAUGCUGCCUCCAUCAGCGCCGAAAUUGGAGAUAAAGACUAACGACUCAGUUCUGGUCUCAUGGCAUGUCCCUAUACAGGAGAAGUACCCAAUCGACCAUUUCUAUGUGGAAUUUUAUCAGUACAAAAAGGGCGAGUUCCGAUCCAAAUGCUGCACAUUUGUGGAUAAUAAGCCGAAAAUAAAUCGGCAAGUGAAGCCUAUCACGAGGAGCUGAUCGACUGUCUCGCGUCAAAUUUUGAUUACAAGUUCCGAGUUGCGGCCUCAUACCCUACACAUAGUCACUCGUAUGGUCAGUGGAGCAAGGAAAUACAUCUACCCAAUGAUUUUGAAGGAAAGGACGCUUUUGACAUAGAUGAUUUGUAAUGAAUUUGUUGCCUAAAUUAAUCGUAGAUCUUUCGGUUGACCAAAGAAGAUUAUACAAAUCUAUUAAUUUAAUCGGAUUAAAGAUGUUUUUCAUCAUGCGUAUCAAAAAAUACCAUGGUUUUACAGAAUGUUUGUUUAAUAUUUAAACAAACCGUGUUGCGUGAAAUUAGAUCCAUGAAUAUUAGGACAGUGCUUUAAUGUUCUUACCACAACACCUUCAAAAUUAUUUGAAAAAGAUACGGUAAAUAAGACAUUUGUUUUAUAAUUUAGUUUAAUGUAGCAUUUUGAAAAAUGAAUACUGCAACUUUUUUUAAGGAUGUUAAAUAUUCUAAAAUAAUUCAACAGAAGCAAUCAAGGGGAAUCGUAAUAAUUGUUUGUUUUCUUAAAUUAUUGUAAGCAUCUUUCUUUCAAAAGUAUCGUGUUCUCAUAAUAAAUAAAAAACAUAUUUUCAUUGAUUGUAACUUCUUUACUUUAUGCUUCUGCCCAGCCUCUCGAAAUUAAUACAGUUUCCUCAACCAUAGUAUUUAUGAUGACUUUUUGCGAUGGUAGCUCCAACUGCGUUUGGACGUAUACACACCAAUGUCUGCUUUAUUACAAUACCUUUAGGAGGGUACUUCUGACUUUCAUUGAAAAUUAAACCUUAUUUGUUAAAAACAACGUCUUCUAAGCAAUGAGGCACGCUUCUCGGUGAGCGCAUGAAUGAUCUUUGCGCCUGCAGUCACAAGCAUAUCGACGGUGAAACUACCAAACCGCGUAUCUCGGUUUGCGACGUUGCAGACUUCCUGUCAUGCUUUAUUUUUUAAAUAAAAAACUACUUAACGUCUAGUCUUGAAAAUUUCUGCGAUUUUUCCUCUUCGCGAGGAGAAAAUUCUGUGAAAAUUUCAAUGAAUGAUAUUGAUUUGGUCUAGUUCAAAAAAUAAAAUGCGAGCGUAGAUUUUUAAACACCGCAAACGAGAUACGUGGUUUGGUAGUUUCACCGUCGAUAUGCAACACGGACAACUCGCGAGCCCGAAUGGUUGCAUCCAGGCGUUGAUAUCAUGGUAGAGCCGGUCCUUUGGUUGGACAAACGAAAUCACAAAAAUAUUUCAGAUAUUGAUCUAUUUUCAUCUUUGAUUAAUAGAUAAUGAUAGUUUCUCCUUGAAUUUACCAACAAUACACACCUAAUACCCCUAAUUAUACGUAUUUUCUUCUAUUUUGUUUUUAAUUUGAUAAUACUUUCCAAUCCA